This 441-nucleotide ribosomal RNA is filed under the name uncultured bacterium. RNAcentral describes it as "partial 16S ribosomal RNA". It matches the Rfam family "Bacterial small subunit ribosomal RNA", at positions 338 to 795 of the family's 1533-position model. The record is from RNAcentral.
UCUACGGGUGGCAGCAGUGGGGAAUAUUGCACAAUGGGGGAAACCCUGAUGCAGCGACGCCGCGUGAGUGAAGAAGUAUUUCGGUAUGUAAAGCUCUGUCAGCAGGGAAGAAACUAGCCGGUACCUGACUAGGAGGCCCCGGCUAACAACGUGCAAGCAGCGGCGGUAAGAGGUAGGGGCCAAGCGUUAUCGGGUUUUAUGGGGGGUAAAGGGAGCGUAGAGGGUAGGGCAAGUCUGAAGUGAAAGCCGAGGCCUUAACCCUGGGACGGCUUUGGAAACUGUUAGACUGGAGUGCAGGAGAGGUAAGUGGAAUUCCUAGUGUAGCGGUGAAAUGCGUAGAUAUUAGGAGGAACACCAGUGGCGAAGGCGGCUUACUGGACAGUAACUGACGUUGAGGCUCGAAAGCGUGGGGAGCAAACAGGAUUAGAUACCCGAGUAGUC